This 875-nucleotide ribosomal RNA is filed under the name uncultured marine bacterium. Its description in RNAcentral is "bacterial SSU rRNA". It matches the Rfam family "Bacterial small subunit ribosomal RNA", at positions 56 to 936 of the family's 1533-position model. The record is from RNAcentral.
UGCAGUCGAGGGAGAAGCAGACGUUCCGUAAGGUUCGACUAUGGAAACCGGCGAACGGGUGCGUAACACGUGAGAAACCUGCCCCCCAGAUCGGGAUAGCCCAGGGAAACUUGGAUUAAUACCGGAUACUCUCUUUGGAUCGCAUGAUCCGUUGAGGAAACAGUCCGCUGCUGGGGGAUGGUCUCGCGGCCUAUCAGGUAGUUGGUGAGGUAACGGCUCACCAAGCCUAAGACGGGUAGCUGGUCUGAGAGGACGAUCAGCCACACUGGAACUGAGACACGGUCCAGACUCCUACGGGAGGCAGCAGCAGGGAAUAUUGCACAAUGGGCGAAAGCCUGAUGCAGCGACACCGCGUGCGGGAUGACGGCCUUAGGGUUGUAAACCGCUUUCAGGAGGGAAGAAAAUGACGGUACCUCCAGAAGAAGCUCCGGCCAACUACGUGCCAGCAGCCGCGGUAAUACGUAGGGAGCAAACGUUGUCCGGAUUUAUUGGGCGUAAAGGGCUCGUAGGCGGUUCAACAAGUUGGUCGUGAAAACCCGGGGCUCAACCCCGGGAGGCCGAUCAAAACUGUUGUGACUAGAGUUCGGUAGAGGUGAGUGGAAUUCUCGGUGUAGCGGUGGAAUGCGCAGAUAUCGAGAGGAACACCAUUAGCGAAGGCGGCUCACUGGGCCGAUACUGACGCUGAGGAGCGAAAGCGUGGGGAGCAAACAGGAUUAGAUACCCUGGUAGUCCACGCCGUAAACGAUGAACACUAGGUGUAGCGGACUGAUUCAUGUCUGCUGCGCCGUAGCUAACGCAUUAAGUGUUCCGCCUGGGGAGUACGGCCGCAAGGCUAAAACUCAAAGGAAUUGACGGGGCCCCGCACAAGCGGCGGA